GGCUUAGAGUUUGAUCAUGGCUCAGGAUAAACGCUGGCGGCGCACAUAAGACAUGCAAGUCGAACGGACUUAACCAUUAGUUUACUAUUGGAGCGGUUAGUGGCGGACUGGUGAGUAACACGUAAGCAACCUGCCUGUUAGAGGGGAACAACAGUUAGAAAUGACUGCUAAUACCGCAUAUGCCUUAAUAUCUGCAUGGAUAUAGAGGGAAAGGAGCAAUCCGCUAACAGAUGGGCUUGCGUCUGAUUAGAUAGUUGGUGGGGUAACAGCCUACCAAGUCGACGAUCAGUAGCCGGACUGAGAGGUUGAACGGCCACAUUGGGACUGAGAUACGGCCCAGACUCCUACGGGAGGCAGCAGUCGGGAAUAUUGCGCAAUGGAGGAAACUCUGACGCAGUGACGCCGCGUGCAGGAAGAAGGUUUUCGGAUUGUAAACUGCUUUAGACAGGGAAGAAAAAGGACAGUACCUGUAGAAUAAGCUCCGGCUAACUACGUGCCAGCAGCCGCGGUAAUACGUAGGGAGCAAGCGUUAUCCGGAUUUAUUGGGUGUAAAGGGUGCGUAGACGGGAAAUCAAGUUGGUUGUGAAAUCUCUCGGCUUAACUGAGGAACUGCAACCAAAACUAAUUUUUCUUGAGUGCUGGAGAGGAAAGUGGAAUUUCCUAGUGUAGCGGUGAAAUGCGUAGAUAUUAGAGGAUACUNGUGGCGAAGCGACUUUCUGGACAGUAACUGACGUUGAGGCACGAAGUGUGGGGAGCAAACNNAUAGAUACCCUGGUAGUCCCNNNUAACGAUGGAUACUAGUGUAGGGAUGAUAUCUCUGUGNCGUCGCAAACGCAGUAGNAUCCAACUGGGGAGUACGNNNNGNGAA
Molecule: ribosomal RNA, 868 nt
Filed under: uncultured bacterium
Lineage: Bacteria
Description: bacterial SSU rRNA
Rfam family: Bacterial small subunit ribosomal RNA
Source: RNAcentral